GGAGAUACAUUACCAUAUACAGACAUCUCAAGGAAAACCCUGAGUACCAACUAUAUCCCAUUUUCAAGUAUUUUGAGAACUGGUGCCAAGAUGAGAACAGGCAUGGUGAUUUCUUCUCUGCAUUGAUGAAGGCACAACCCCAGUUCCUCAAUGAUUGGAAGGCAAAGUUGUGGGCUCGAUUCUUCUGCCUAUCGGUAAUUAUAGUAUAAUAAGUUUCUACAUUCAAUUGUAUACUAGAUUGCAAAUAUUAUCUUAAUUUUUUACCCUAGUGUGUUUAAAUCUUUGGCUUCUCGAGAACCUCUGGGAUUCCUCUGGUCCUCUUAUGACUUCCCAAAUUUGUCUUGCAGGUUUAUGUAACAAUGUACCUCAAUGAUUGCCAGCGUACGGAUUUCUAUGAAGGAAUUGGGCUCAACACAAAAGAAUUUGACAUGCAUGUGAUCAUAGAGGUGAGCCUGCAUAUUCAUGCCCUCCAGCUUUUUCCAUGUUAUAAGUAAUGAUCCGAGUCAUGCUUAUGAAAUUUUGUUUUGCAGACCAA
Molecule: long non-coding RNA, 535 nt
Filed under: Vitis vinifera (wine grape)
Lineage: Eukaryota; Viridiplantae; Streptophyta; Magnoliopsida; Vitales; Vitaceae
Description: long non-coding RNA (VVIN_LNC002508)
Source: RNAcentral